GGUAAAGUGCCAACACACAAGAAGAAGCCCAGUAGUUUUCGCUAGUGUUCGCUAGCGGCUAAGCUACAAGCAAACGUGGUGUAGUCGGGUUUAAGGAAGCUUCACCAAACUUUCACCUGAGAUUAAGUCGACUCUUGGUGGCUUCCAGACGGGCUUUCGCCCGCUGUCCUCCCUGGUUCUCACGAUUUUAGGAGCAGGUGCUUUCUACCGGUAGCCAGGCCACAGGCUAACGCUAACGGAUAACGCUACAAAUGAACGUGAUGGAGUCGGAUAGCGGCUCUAAUCUUGUCGAAGCGGCCGAAUUUAAUGAGUGGAUUGGGCACGGACUGCAUCUGGCAAUCAAUGUAAGCCAAGCCCAUCGUCCUGAGCACCGGGAGUCGGAGUGCAUCAAGGAGGAGGAGGAAGAGUCGCCAUCAGUCAAGGAGGAGGAAGAGUUCGUACACAUUGAAGGUUUCAGAAAAUAUCUUGGUGCCGAGCGUCAUGAGCCAGAAUCUCCUGGCGUUAAAGAGGAUGUUGAGCUCCCCCAAAUCAAAGAGGAGGAGCCAAACCCCUGUCAACAGAAGCAACUUUCAAUCAAAAAGGAGGAGGAAGAGCUGCCAUGCUUUAAAGAGGAGGAAGGUAUUACCAGGUCCACUGGUGAGCCCUUGAAGAGUGAAGAUGGUCCGAGUGAGACCGGCAAAGGGGCGGAGCCUGCAAGUGGCAGCAGCUCGACAGAAGGAUUACAAGCAGACAUUUUCAUCGCUCCAUCAGACAGAAAUGGCACCACGUCACAGUCACCUUACAAUGAUGAUGGUCAUAAGAAAUCUCACCGUGACGACAAACCCUGCAAAUGCUCUCAGUGCGGGAAAACCUUCGCUCGUAAGAAAAAUUGCCGUAUACAUAUGAGGAACCACUCUGGGGAAAAACCUUUUGUCUGCUCAGUUUGUGAUAAAAGAUUCAGCCGAAAUGUAAACUUGAAAAUACACACAAGAACCCACACUGGCGAAAAACCGUUUCCCUGCUUAGUUUGUGGUCAAAGAUUCUCUCGAAAGCAAGUCUUACAAAAUCACGAAAGAAUCCACACUGGCGAAAAACCUUUUUCCUGCUCAGUUUGUGAUCAAAGAUUCACUAAAAAGCACCACUUGAAAAUCCACUCAAGAAUCCACACUGGUGAAAAACCCUUUUCCUGCUCAAUUUGUUAUCGAAGAUUCACUCUGAAGCAACACUUAAAAGAACACACAAAAACCCACAAUCGUGAAAACCCUUUUUCCUGCUCGAUCUGUGGUCAAGGAUUCACUAGGAAGUAUCAGAUGAAGGGACACGUGUGUGUUGGUGUGAGAAGCAGUGGCCAAUGACUGUUUUGCUUGUCAUCCAUGCUGGCUUUGACAGAUUUUGCACGAAGGACGAUUGUAUUCUGUAAGCGCUUCCUUGAAUCCUGUUGAGGACAGGCACUUUUGGUGCCUUGCUUUGUCCAAUCAUUGUCUGAUGUGCAUCCACCUUAUUGCCUAAACCUCACCUGAUUGAACUCAAGUUAAGUGCAUUAUUUAUAUAAUACUGUCCCUCUUUCAAACUACACUUUUCACAUUUAAUAUUUUAAACAGCAGAUCCCUAAUUCCAAAAAUUCAAAAUCAUUCAUAAAUAAUGUCUUUAAAUGAAUAUGGAAAACUAGGCCUGCAAGCAGGACUGAAAAGGCCCUCGCAGCUUGGCGCAACUCGGACAGGUUAGGAUAGUAGAUCGUCCCGCUCUCAUCAUCUCCUGAGAACCUAACUUGCUCGAAACUCGCCUCAUUUUUGGGAUUAGAAAUACAUUCACACACCUAGGAGGAAAAACCCUAUUGGAGAGAGUGCAACAAAAAAGGAGGCGCAAAUGAACUGUGCAGCCAUGCCCUUAUUCAGUACCAAAAUUAAUUUCUAAUUGGGCCAAUUUGACCACGUGUGCCAAAUUCUGUGGCUCUGUAAGCUGCCUAAGUCCCUGAAAAAUUAUACUUCCUUUUAAUGUAAUUCAAUGUUUAAUCUACAAAACACUUAAUGGCCUUGGACCAAAAUACAUGCUUGACUUGUUAGAUUCCUAUGAGACAUCUAGACCCCUAAGGUCGUCUGGAACCGGUAUUCUGCAUGUUCCAAGAACAAGAACCAAGCAGGGUGAGGCAGCAUUUAGUUAUUAUGCUCCUCACCUCUGGAACAAGAUACCCGAACGUCUGAAGUAUGCUCAAACUGUUAGCUCUUUUAAAUCAGGGCUAAAAACGCUUUUGUUUAGCACUGCAUAUCCAUAACUGUCUAUAUAUUUCAGUCUACCUGCUUUCUAUUCCUCUUGUGCUUAUCUCCAUUGCUGAUUUCAAUUAUUAUUAGUAGUAAUAGUUUUUGUUUUAUUCUUAGUUUUGUUUUAUUUUUAUUUAUUUUUUUUUUAUUCUGUGAUUAAAUGCAAUCUUUUGUCUUGGUUUUUACGUUGUGUUGAUUUAAAUUUGAUUUUUAUGAUCUUCAUGCGAUGUAAAGCACUUUGAAUUGCCUUGUGUUGAAUUGUGCUAUAUAAAUAAAUUUGCCUUGCCUUGCCUAAUGGCGAACAAAGGGUUGUCACGGCAGCAGACAAAGAAAGACUUGUGGACGUUGGCCUUAAAAUGUAGUAUUACAAAUAAUACAAAAGGUCUUGAAACUACAAUGACCAACCUGAAAAGAACUGGACGAAUAUAAGUAAAAUGAGUGACUUUCUGUUGCCACUAGUUGGCGCUCCAGAGUUGAUGCAAAUGACCCCUACAGGACCUUUCAGGGUACGACUCAACAAGCAUGGGAAGUUUGGCGCAGAUAUGUUGUAUGUCUGCCAAGUUAUGACUGUUCAAAAUCUGUGGUGAGACAAAUGGCGACGGUGACUUUCACUUUCCUUUGUGGACCCCUGUGCUUCAACGAAACCUCAACAUUUUUCAUAAGGCACCUGAACACAUGUCUCAAGGCUCCCCUGAAACAGUCAGUGAGUAGCCGCUUCCAAUCAAGUCAAGGAAUACAAAAUCGUCUUCAUGAGGGCGGAUGUAGAACCAAGCCAGUCCCUCAAUACGCCGCAUCACAAACCAUGGAUGCUGGUAACACCGGACGGAGGCGUCGAAACUGCAGGCUGUACAUGUAACGUGGGUCCCGGGCGUUCGUGUAGUCGUGCUACUGCUAUGUUCUGGAAGGAAUGUUUUCCAAAAAUACGAAACCUAAAAUCUGGCGAAUGAAACGACUUGUUGCCUUUGCUAUUGACAUUUCGAUGAUGAUUGUAAUUAUGAGGUUUAACAAUUUUUACUACAACUACUGCUGCUGCUGCUGCUAGCCUGUUGCUAAUUCAGAGAUUUAUUUGUCAUUGACACCACCUCUCACAAGAUGAUAACAGAUGACAACGAAAUUCCGUUCGAUGACUGGAAAACGCUGUUAGACAAGGGAAGACGACUUGUCCGUUAAUAGACAUAUCUCGAGACUACGUGCAUUCUACUUUGAUGAUGGACGGCUCGACUCCCGGGGGCGGCCGAGAGCCAAGGGCUGGGACAGAUGGUGGUUCACCUCACGGCAGACCGUCAGCAUGAUCCCAAAAUCCAACUACGAGCUUUUUAACUGUAGCAACUUUAAGAUAUGCUAUUGGAGCUCGAAUUACCGAGGACAGCAGGAUAAAGUGCGCCUGAAUGCCGCCAAGGGUCUCGUAAUGUCGGGUGAAAGUUUGGCUCGCUUAAGCUCUGCUGUCUGAUAACACAUUCCUCGUAUGCUCAACCUUCAUUACUAUUGUUCUAAUCGUUUUAUAAAUUGUGAUUUAUUGACUUGUUUUGUACAUGCACCAAUCGUUUUAAAUGAAACAAGUGGAAUCAUUUUGUCUAUCUGUCGUUAUCUGCAAUAAA
This is an RNA transcript of Corythoichthys intestinalis (scribbled pipefish), 3835 nucleotides long. It is a transcript of the gene named zinc finger protein 227-like, with no coding region annotated. The transcript is spliced from 5 exons. NCBI's taxonomy places the organism in Eukaryota, Metazoa, Chordata, Actinopteri, Syngnathiformes, Syngnathidae. The record is from RefSeq and is a predicted model, not a curated record.